CAUGCAAGUCGUACGGUGAAGCCGAGCUUACUCCUUGGAUCAGUGGCGAACGGGUGAGUAACACGUGAGCAAUCUGCCCUUGACUCUGGGAUAACUGCGGGAAACUGUAGCUAAUACCGGAUAUUACCUUGGAAGGCAUCUUCUGGGGUGGAAAGAAUUUUGGUCAAGGAUGAGCUCGCGGCCUAUCAGCUAGUUGGUGAGGUAAUGGCUCACCAAGGCGACGACGGGUAGCCGGCCUGAGAGGGUGACCGGCCACACUGGGACUGAGACACGGCCCAGACUCCUACGGGAGGCAGCAGUGGGGAAUAUUGCACAAUGGGCGCAAGCCUGAUGCAGCAACGCCGCGUGAGGGACGACGGCCUUCGGGUUGUAAACCUCUUUUAGUAGGGAAGAAGCGACUGGGUUUUCCUGGGAGUGACGGUACCUGCAGAAAAAGCACCGGCUAACUACGUGCCAGCAGCCGCGGUAAUACGUAGGGUGCAAGCGUUGUCCGGAAUUAUUGGGCGUAAAGAGCUCGUAGGCGGUUUGUCGCGUCUGCUGUGAAAACCCGAGGCUCAACCUCGGGCCUGCAGUGGGUACGGGCAGACUAGAGUGCGGUAGGGGAGAUUGGAAUUCCUGGUGUAGCGGUGGAAUGCGCAGAUAUCAGGAGGAACACCAAUGGCGAAGGCAGAUCUCUGGGCCGUAACUGACGCUGAGGAGCGAAAGCAUGGGGAGCGAACACGAUUAGAUACCCUGGUAGUCCAUGCCGUAAACGUUGGGAACUAGAUGUGGGGACCAUUCCACGGUCUCCGUGUCGCAGCUAACGCAUUAAGUUCCCCGCCUGGGGAGUACGGCCGCAAGGCUAAAACUCAAAGGAAUUGACGGGGGCCCGCACAAGCGGCGGAGCAUGCGGAUUAAUUCGAUGCAACGCGAAGAACCUUACCAAGGCUUGACAUAUACCGGAAACGCUUGGAAACAGGUGCCCCGCAAGGUCGGUAUACAGGUGGUGCAUGGUUGUCGUCAGCUCGUGUCGUGAGAUGUUGGGUUAAGUCCCGCAACGAGCGCAACCCUCGUCCUAUGUUGCCAGCACGUAAUGGUGGGAACUCAUGGGAUACUGCCGGGGUCAACUCGGAGGAAGGUGGGGAUGACGUCAAAUCAUCAUGCCCCUUGUGUCUUGGGCUUCACGCAUGCUACAAUGGCCGGUACAAAGGGCUGCGAUACCGCAAGGUGGAGCGAAUCCCAAAAAGCCGGUCUCAGUUCGGAUUGAGGUCUGCAACUCGACCUCAUGAAGUCGGAGUCGCUAGUAAUCGCAGAUCAGCAACGCUGCGGUGAAUACGUUCCCGGGCCUUGUACGCACCGCCCGUCAAGUCAUGAAAGUCGGUAACACCCGAAGCCAGUGGCCGAACCCGUAAGGGACGGAGCUGUCGAAGGUGGGAUCGGUGAUUAGGACUAAGUCGUAACA
This 1441-nucleotide ribosomal RNA is filed under the name uncultured bacterium. RNAcentral describes it as "16S ribosomal RNA". It matches the Rfam family "Bacterial small subunit ribosomal RNA". RNAcentral also lists the same sequence under 1 other name. The record is from RNAcentral.